UUCCUCGUUAGCUGCUCCUUCAAGGAGCAGCUGCUCCUCGGCUCCUUCAAGGAACAGUUGCUCCUCGCUCGUGGCAAUUUCCGAGGCCGAGGAUGAUGCCCCCGCUUCUUAUUCGAUGGGUCCCUCCACAACCGGUGGCUACUCAGGCACCUCUUCAAUGCGAGCCUGAGGUUCCUAUCCAACACUUAUAAAAGUAAUUUAAAAAAACGGAAAAAUUCGGCAUGACCUAUGCUGUAAAACAAGAAAAUUUUGGCAUGACCAUUGCUGUAAAACAACAAAUGAGUCUACCCGAAUGUUAUACCUGCAUAAAAAAAACUCCCACCCACAUAUACCCCCUCGGCACGAUGGCCGGUCCCUUCUCAACGACUCGGCACGAUGGCCAGGCCCACAUUCCUCAUAUCAACCAACACGAUCGUCGGGAUCACAUCCAUGUAUCAUUAAACCAUAAACAGCAAUAACAUCAAUACUUAAACAUAAACAGCAAUAUAAACCCUAAAUAGCUAGAACUAAACAUAAACAACAAUAUUUAAACCCUAACUAAACAUAAACAACAACCCUAAUUUAAAAAAAACAUAAACCCUAAUUUAAAACCCUAAGCGUACCGGGGUCGCGACGGCCAGGGCG
This 624-nucleotide long non-coding RNA is filed under the name Brachypodium distachyon (stiff brome). RNAcentral's name for it is "long non-coding RNA (BDIS_LNC004486)". The record is from RNAcentral. Lineage: Eukaryota; Viridiplantae; Streptophyta; Magnoliopsida; Poales; Poaceae.